UCCAAACGCUGACUUUCACAAAGGAAAUGCUCCCAGGUUACAAAGCUAAGCACUUGCGUCACCCACUUUCCUAACGACGAAGAAACUUGAUGUUCAUUUAUUUUUAUUUUAUGACUACGAACAGGAGAUCUGGAUCACUAAUUCCUUAUAUGACUUCUCUAUGCGGACCAAAAUAACCAGAUAAAUGUUUCACUGAAUCUCACUGAAGAUGGAUCCUU
RNAcentral lists this long non-coding RNA (218 nucleotides) under Elaeis guineensis (African oil palm). RNAcentral's name for it is "long non-coding RNA (EGUI_LNC029932)". The record is from RNAcentral. Lineage: Eukaryota; Viridiplantae; Streptophyta; Magnoliopsida; Arecales; Arecaceae.